RNAcentral lists this ribosomal RNA (365 nucleotides) under uncultured soil bacterium. RNAcentral's name for it is "bacterial SSU rRNA". It matches the Rfam family "Bacterial small subunit ribosomal RNA", at positions 26 to 386 of the family's 1533-position model. The record is from RNAcentral.
AGAUUGAACGCUGGCGGCAGGCCUAACACAUGCAAGUCGAGCGGCAGCACGGGUACUUGUACCUGGUGGCGAGCGGCGGACGGGUGAGUAAUGCCUAGGAAUCUGCCUGGUAGUGGGGGAUAACGCUCGGAAACGGACGCUAAUACCGCAUACGUCCUACGGGAGAAAGCAGGGGACCUUCGGGCCUUGCGCUAUCAGAUGAGCCUAGGUCGAUUAGCUAAUUGGUGAGGUAAUGGCUCACCAAGGCGACGAUCCGGUAACUGGCUGAGAGGAUGAUCAGUCACACGUGGAACUGAGACGACGGUCCAGACCUCCCGACGGGAGGCAGCUAGGUGGGAAUAGUUGGACAAUGGGACAAAGCCUGA